CAGUAGCCGCGGUAAUACGAGGGGUGCAAGCGUUAUUCGGAUUGAUUGGGUGUAAAGGGUGUGCAGACGGCUUAUUAAGUCACUUGUUAAAUUCUUCGGCCUAACUGAAGGUCUGCAAGUGAUACUGAUGAGCUAGAGGGUGGAAGAGAGAAGUGGAAUUCUCGGAGUAGCGGUAAAAUGCGUAGAUCUCGAGAGGAACACCAAUGGCGAAGGCAGCUUCUUGGUCCACUCCUGACGUUCAUACACGAAAGCGUGGUGAGCAAACAGGAUUAGAUACCCCCGUAGUCCCUGUCUCUUAUAC
This 301-nucleotide ribosomal RNA is filed under the name uncultured bacterium. RNAcentral describes it as "partial 16S ribosomal RNA". It matches the Rfam family "Bacterial small subunit ribosomal RNA", at positions 509 to 807 of the family's 1533-position model. The record is from RNAcentral.